RNAcentral lists this transfer RNA (88 nucleotides) under Mucilaginibacter gracilis. It matches the Rfam family "tRNA". From Rfam's summary of the family: Transfer RNA (tRNA) molecules are approximately 80 nucleotides in length. Their secondary structure includes four short double-helical elements and three loops (D, anti-codon, and T loops). Further hydrogen bonds mediate the characteristic L-shaped molecular structure. tRNAs have two regions of fundamental functional importance: the anti-codon, which is responsible for specific mRNA codon recognition, and the 3' end, to which the tRNAs corresponding amino acid is attached (by aminoacyl-tRNA synthetases). tRNAs cope with the degeneracy of the genetic code in two manners: having more than one tRNA (with a specific anti-codon) for a particular amino acid; and 'wobble' base-pairing, i.e. permitting non-standard base-pairing at the 3rd anti-codon position. RNAcentral also lists the same sequence under 2 other names. The record is from Rfam by way of RNAcentral. Lineage: Bacteria; Pseudomonadati; Bacteroidota; Sphingobacteriia; Sphingobacteriales; Sphingobacteriaceae.
GGAGAAGUGUCUGAGUGGUCGAAAGAGCACGCCUGGAAAGUGUGUAUACGCCAAAAGUGUAUCGAGAGUUCGAAUCUCUCCUUCUCCG